RNAcentral lists this ribosomal RNA (1318 nucleotides) under uncultured organism. Its description in RNAcentral is "partial 16S ribosomal RNA". It matches the Rfam family "Bacterial small subunit ribosomal RNA", at positions 126 to 1435 of the family's 1533-position model. The record is from RNAcentral.
CUGCCUCUAACUGGGGCAUAGCCCGAAGAAAUUCGGAUUAAUUUCCCAUAUUAUUCAAUGAUCGCAUGAUGAUUGCAUGACAGCUCCGGCGGUUAGAGAUGGGCAUGCGGGUCAUUAGCUUGUUGGUGAGGUAACGGCUCACCAGGGCUGCGAUGACUAGGGGGACUGAGAGGGUGAUCCCACACACUGGUACUGAGACACGGACCAGACUUCUACGGAAGUGCAGCAGUGAAGAAUAUUGGGCAAUGGAAGCAACUCUAGACCCAGCCAUGCCGUGUGCAAGAUGACGGCCCUAUGGGUUGUAAACUGCUAUUUCUUAGAGAGAUGAAUCCCCCCGAAUAUACGAGGGUUGCCGGUAUCUCAGGAAUAAGCAUCGGCUAACUCCGUGCCAGCAUCCGCGUUAUACGGAGGAUGCAAGCGUUAUCCGGAUUCAUUGGUUUAAAGGGUGCGUAACGCGGGAAAGUAAGUCAGUGCUGAAGCCUGCAGCUCAACUGUGACCUGCCAUUGGAUACUGCUUUUCUUGAGUUUUGCUUGAGGUAGGCGGAAUGUGUAAUGUAGCGGUUGAAAUGCUUAGAUAGUACACAGUACACCGAUUGCGAAGGCAGCUUACUAAACCGAUACUGACGCUGAUGCACGUAAGCGUGGGGAGCGAACGGGAUUAGAUACCCCGGUAGUCCUGGCCGUAAACGUUGUGCACUAGGUGUGGGAGGGUAUCAACCCCUUCUGUGCCGUAGGAAACCCAUUAAGUGCACCGCCUGGGGAGUACGACCGCAAGGUUGAAACUCAAAGGAAUUGACGGGGGCCCGCACAAGCGGUGGAGCAUGCGGUUUAAUUCGACGCAACGCGAAGAACCUUACCUGGGCUUAACAUCACCCUAACGGGUGCCGUACCUCGGGGAAACUCGGGGGCAAGGCAGAUAGGUGCUGCAUGGCUGUCGUCAGCUCGUGUCGUGAGAUGUUGGGUUAAGUCCCGCAACGAGCGCAACCCCUACCCUCUGUUACCAGCGGAUCAUGCCGGGGACUCUGAGGGAACCGCCGUAGUAAUGCGGAGGAAGGUGGGGAUGACGUCAAGUCAGCAUGGCCCUUACGUCCAGGGCUACACGCGUGCUACAAUGGCCGGUACAAACCGUCGCGAGACCGAAAGGUGGAGCCAAUCGGAAAAAACCGGUCCCAGUUCGGAUUGAGGGCUGCAACUCGCCCUCAUGAAGGUGGAAUCGCUAGUAAUCGCGGAUCAGCCACGCCGCGGUGAAUACGUUCCCGGGCCUUGUACACACCGCCCGUCACAUGACCCGAGUCGUCUGCACCCGAAGCCGGUGACC